GGAGUUGUAGCUCAGCAGGAGAGUACUUGCCUAGCACAUGCAAGACCCUGGGUUCGAUCCUCAGCACCA
This 69-nucleotide transfer RNA is filed under the name Marmota monax (woodchuck). Its description in RNAcentral is "tRNA.Ala". The record is from RNAcentral. Lineage: Eukaryota; Metazoa; Chordata; Mammalia; Rodentia; Sciuridae.